CCUACGGGAGGCAGCAGUGGGGAAUAUUGGGCAAUGGGCGCAAGCCUGACCCAGCAAUGCCGCGUGAAGGAAGACGGCUUUCGGGUUGUAAACCUCUUUGACUGGGGAAGAGCAGAAGACGGUACCCUGAAAACAAGCCACGGCUAAAUACGUGCCAGCAGCCGCGGUACUACGUAGGUGGCAAGCGUUGUCCGGAUUUUCUGGGUGUAAAGGGCUUGUAGCCGGGAAGGCAAGUCAGAUGUGAAAUCUGGAGGCUCAACCUCCAAACUGCAUUUGAAACUGUUUUUCUUGAGUACAGGUGAGGCAGACGGAAUUCCUUGUGUAGCGGUGAAAUGCGUAGAUAUAAGGAGGAACACCAGUGGCGAAGGCGGUCUGCUGGACAGCAACUGACGGUGAGGCGCGAAAGCGUGGGGAGCAAACAGGAUUAGAUACCCGUGUAGUG
This 442-nucleotide ribosomal RNA is filed under the name uncultured bacterium. RNAcentral's name for it is "partial 16S ribosomal RNA". It matches the Rfam family "Bacterial small subunit ribosomal RNA", at positions 338 to 795 of the family's 1533-position model. The record is from RNAcentral.